CUUAGUGGCCCUGAGGCCACCCGGAACCCCUCCACCUGCAACACUUGGGCUUUUUGCAGGUCCAGAAGUAGGUGUCACAACCAAGAGUGACAUCGACACUGGCUCUGCCAAAACUGCCAAGAAGCACAAAGUAAAUGCUCUGGCCAUUUUCAGUUCUAAGUCUUUAUGGACAGCCACAUCUUUUUGUACAGGACACUCUCCUGCCAUUAUCUCUGGUUUGUGUGUCUUAUGGUAUGUCUGCUGUUUUUGUUUUUUUUUUUUUUUUUUUUCUUCUCAAAUGCAAAACCUUUACCGCCGAGUCUACGGGCUUCCCUGUUUCCCAGCUGGCAUCUGUUUGUGGUAACUUGAGCAGCUAAGCGUGCCUAGAGGUGGGGACCAUAGGGCUUUUCUAAUGUGUUCCUGGAAUAAAUCAAGGAGGAUGACACCACACUCCA
Herpailurus yagouaroundi (jaguarundi) is the source of this 434-nucleotide long non-coding RNA. RefSeq lists it as uncharacterized. NCBI's taxonomy places the organism in Eukaryota, Metazoa, Chordata, Mammalia, Carnivora, Felidae. The transcript has 2 exons. The record is from RefSeq and is a predicted model, not a curated record.